This 496-nucleotide ribosomal RNA is filed under the name uncultured bacterium. RNAcentral's name for it is "partial 16S ribosomal RNA". It matches the Rfam family "Bacterial small subunit ribosomal RNA", at positions 28 to 507 of the family's 1533-position model. The record is from RNAcentral.
GAUGAACGCUGGCGGCGUGCCUAAUACAUGCAAGUCGAGCGAACGGACGAGAAGCUUGCUUUUCUGAUGUUAGCGGCGGACGGGUGAGUAACACGUGGAUAACCUACCUAUAAGACUGGGUUACUUCGGGAAACCGGGGCCUAUUCCGGAAAAUUUUUUGAACCGCCUUGGUCAAAAGUGAAAGACGGGCUUUCUUUCACCUAUUAAAUGAACCGCGCUGCAUUAGCUAGUUGGUUAGGUAACGGCUUACCAAGGCAACGAUGCAUAGCCGACCUGAGAGGGUGAUCGGCCACACUGGAACUGAGACACGGUCCAGACUCCUACGGGAGGCAGCAGUAGGGAAUCUUCCGCAAUGGGCGAAAGCCUGACGGAGCAACGCCGCGUGAGUGAUGAAGGUCUUCGGAUCGUAAAACUCUGUUAUUAGGGAAGAACAUAUGUGUAAGUAACUGUGCACAUCUUGACGGUACCUAAUCAGAAAGCCACGGCUAACUACGUG